Molecule: long non-coding RNA, 318 nt
Filed under: Elaeis guineensis (African oil palm)
Lineage: Eukaryota; Viridiplantae; Streptophyta; Magnoliopsida; Arecales; Arecaceae
Description: long non-coding RNA (EGUI_LNC008871)
Source: RNAcentral
UCCCUCAUAGUUAUCAACUCCUCAUCAUCAGUUAAUAGCUCAUCAAUUGUAUAAUAGCUAUCCUCACUCUCUUCCUCUUCAUUGUCACUGGAUGGGGUGUAGUCUUCAUCCUCGAAAGAUUCUUCAACAAUCCUUACAUCCUUAGAUUUCUCAAGCACUUCCUCUUUUUCUUUGCUUAUCACCACUUGUUGACUUUGCUGAGCAACUACUUUUCUGCCUUUAUCUUUUGCUACUUGCUUACCAAUUUCUUUACUUGUCACUGAUUCUAGGCUUUUCUUCUCAUCAAGCUUUUUAGUAAGACUUCUAGUUCUUGGUCUC